This 1729-nucleotide long non-coding RNA is filed under the name Olea europaea (common olive). Its description in RNAcentral is "long non-coding RNA (OEUR_LNC011293)". The record is from RNAcentral. Lineage: Eukaryota; Viridiplantae; Streptophyta; Magnoliopsida; Lamiales; Oleaceae.
UAAGAGUAUUUACAUGUACCAAAGGCAGAAGUUAUUAUGUUUAGUACGUGACCCUCGAAGCUUAAGUUCGGGGUGUCACAGCAAAUUAAUUACUAAUGAUUCCUUAUUUAAUUUUUAAUGCUAGUUUGCUGAAACUUAUCAUUUGAGGUUGAGUAUGUUUUAUUGACCCUCUUGAAGAUUUUUUUUUCAGUUUACGGAUCUUAAAAGUUCGAGCACAAAGAGUUGGCACAAUUUAUUCUUCUUUCUUUGUUAUUAUGAGGCAUGAUCGCAAUGUCUUUGUUUAACUAUGUGCUUCAAGAAGCUAUAUUUUUACAAGGACUCUGAAAUAGGGUCUUUAACUUACAAUUAGCUUUUCCCUGUGAAAUUUACAUUUUUUUUACGCCAUCCUUUAGUUGUUUCUUUUUGUAUCCUGUCAACUUAUCUUGGUCUAUUCAUACAAAUUGGAGAGGAAUAAUGUAUUUAUUUCCUAAUUUAUAUUGACAUAUAUGAUCAUUUUAAUGCUCUAUUAUUGUUUAGUAUUUUAUCUUGUUAAUAUAUUCCAGUAUUUUUGAAAAUGAGUGUCUGACUGUGGUUGCUGAAUGGAUCAAGAAUGUAAACUGAGAAUUGUAUUAUGUUAUUCAAUAAAAGAUGAAAAUGGAAAUAACACUCCGAGGCUCCUCGAGAGGCCUAACUCUCCUCCUAACACUCUACUUUUCUCGAUGAAUUCUACAGCCUUCCCCCCAUCACAUUUAUUGGCAUUCCCCCCCACGAUUCAGUUCCCUAAUUUACCCCUUGAACUAACUAACUAUUAACUACUUGGACUAAAAAGGAAUAAUAUGCUGUAUUGACUGUAACCCUGCUGAUUAUCUCUGUUUUCCUUUAUUGGGAGUCCAUCACAAUCAUGGGGCUGAUCUGAGGUGAUCUCGAAGUGAUAUUUUUGGGUUUUCUGAAGUUAAUAAUGAGGGAAUCGUUGACCUAAGAUUUGUUUUGAUAUUCUCUAUUACUGCAGGCUGUAGAAUAUGAAGCUUAAGGAUGGAUAUUUGGAAUUUUUAUGUCUGAAUUGUGUGGAAAAGUAUCUAGAUAAAAGGGUAUAAAUAUUACUAUGAGUAUGUCAUGUAUGAAGGGCUUGGUUCUAGAGGAGGAAAAAGAAUAAGCUGUUGUGGGACUGAUGAGAAUAACACUGGAGUACAUUACCUUUUGGUAAAUUGAGGAUGAUUACUGAUGAUGUUAUUUUAUAGGAAAGUAAUGGGCUUUAGAAGUAUCUAAUUCGCAAUGAGGAGAAGAAUCAAAGUACUGGAAUUGUGAGGGUAAUGCAACGAGGUUUUGGUGGGGGCAAAAAAAAUAGAAUGCUAUAAGUACUGUACAAUGUUGUCAUCAUAUCAUAUAUUCUCAUAAUAAUCAAUUCUAUUAUAACAAGUAUAUUAACUCAAUAUUAUUGACCUAUAAGGCUCCUUUUCUAAGAUUCAAGACUUUCUGAACACAAAUUUAACUCUGAAUUGACCUAUAUAAACUUAAUAAAAAAUUCCUGCUUAACUGACUGUAACUAUGUAGUGCUGUAAUUGAUAAACCAUCAGAUAUCACCAACCGAUUAAUGUAGUACGAUGAACUAAUGGUAAUAUUCUGCUAAGCAUUGCCCAAAUUGUAACUCUGAUUCAAAUGUCACUGUGGUCAACUCCUCUGGGAAGAAAGCUGUUUGUAGUCCAUGCCUAACGCCUUUGUUUCCACAUUCUAAUCUCUGAUUUAACCAUGG